AGUGCCAGCAGCCGCGGUAAUACCGGCGCCUCAAGUGGUAGUCGAUUUUAUUGGGCCUAAAACGUCCGUAGCCUGUUUGGUACAUUCGUGGGUAAAUCAACCAGCUCAACUGACUGAAUUCUGCGAGCACGGCCAGACUUGGGACCGGGAGAGGUGUGGGGUACGCUCAGGGUAGGGGUAAAAUCCUGUCAUCCUGAGCGGACCACCUGUUGCGAAGGCGCCACACUAGAACGGAUCCGACGGUCAGGGACGAAGCCUAGGGGCACGAACCGGAUUAGAUACCCGGGUAGUCCUAGGUGUAAACGCUGUGGACUUGGUGUUGGGGACUCUCCGAGAUUCCUCAGUGCCGAAGCGAAGGUGAUAAGUCCACUGCCUGGGGAGUACGGUCGCAAGGCUGAAACUUAAAGGAAUUGGCGGGGGAGCACCGCAACCUGAGGAUUGUGCGGUUUAAUUGGAUUCAACGCCGGAAAACUCACCAGUGCCGACGGACAAAUGAAAGCCAGUGUGAUGAGCUUGCUGGAUUGUUCGAGAGGUAGUGCAUGGCCGCCGUCAGUUCGUACCGUAAGGCGUUCUGUUAAGUCAGAUAACGAACGAGACCCUCAUCCCUAUUUGCUAAGGUCAGUCCGCUGAUCACAGGACUAUAGGGAGACCGCUGGCGCGAAGUCAGAGGAAGGCGAGGGCAACGGUAGGUCAGUAUGCUCCGAAUGCACUGGCUACACGCGCAUACAAAGGACGGGACAUGGCCGCUGCGCGAGAGCAUGUGCUAUCCCGAAGCCCGUUCGUAGUUCGGAUGAGGCUGUACUCGCCCUCAUGAGCUGAUAGUAGUAUCGCGUCUCAAAAGGCGCGUGAUAUGCCCUGCUCUGCCCACCGCCCGUUCAACCAUCUUAAUGGGGUGGUGAGCUACUCUAUGGGUUUCGAACCUGCCUCGAAAGGAGUAGUCUACAGUACUGGCGGCGCUCGACAGGGGAUUGGAUACCUCCUGGGGGCGCUGACUGUCUAAGGCCAUCGCUUAAGGGCAACAUUCUGGCCGGUUAAGCGUGAUGAAACGGUUCCAAUAACCUGAAACCCUCACAGGGA
This 1077-nucleotide ribosomal RNA is filed under the name uncultured bacterium. Its description in RNAcentral is "bacterial SSU rRNA". It matches the Rfam family "Archaeal small subunit ribosomal RNA", at positions 454 to 1478 of the family's 1478-position model. The record is from RNAcentral.